RNAcentral lists this ribosomal RNA (490 nucleotides) under uncultured bacterium. Its description in RNAcentral is "bacterial SSU rRNA". It matches the Rfam family "Bacterial small subunit ribosomal RNA", at positions 501 to 992 of the family's 1533-position model. The record is from RNAcentral.
CUACGUGCCAGCAGCCGCGGUAAUACGGAGGGUGCGAGCGUUAAUCGGAAUAACUGGGCGUAAAGGGCACGCAGGCGGUGACUUAAGUGAGGUGUGAAAGCCCCGGGCUUAACCUGGGAAUUGCAUUUCAUACUGGGUCGCUAGAGUACUUUAGGGAGGGGUAGAAUUCCACGUGUAGCGGUGAAAUGCGUAGAGAUGUGGAGGAAUACCGAAGGCGAAGGCAGCCCCUUGGGAAUGUACUGACGCUCAUGUGCGAAAGCGUGGGGAGCAAGCAGGAUUAGAUACCCUGGUAGUCCACGCUGUAAACGAUGUCGAUUUGGGGGUUGAGCUUUGAGCUUGGCGCCCGUAGCUAACGUGAUAAAUCGACCGCCUGGGGAGUACGGCCGCAAGGUUAAAACUCAAAUGAAUUGACGGGGGCCCGCACAAGCGGUGGAGCAUGUGGUUUAAUUCGAUGCAACGCGAAGAACCUUACCUACUCUUGACAUCCAGA